UGCCACAGCCAUUUCACCCUGCAGCCCAAGACCAGUUACUCACUGAAGCUAAGCAGGGCAGAGCCUGGUCAGUGGGAGACCACAUGGGAAAACUUGGUUGCUGUUGGAA
RNAcentral lists this ribosomal RNA (109 nucleotides) under Danio rerio (zebrafish). The record is from RNAcentral. Lineage: Eukaryota; Metazoa; Chordata; Actinopteri; Cypriniformes; Danionidae.